Molecule: non-coding RNA, 279 nt
Organism: Cinara cedri
Lineage: Eukaryota; Metazoa; Arthropoda; Insecta; Hemiptera; Aphididae
Source: the annotation of a GenBank genome assembly
GGGACCAGACCAUUUUGCUCAUAUUACGCAGAUGCCCAUAUUAACCGGUGCCCACAUAAGGCGGAAUCCACUGUACAUAUUUAUAAUUUAUAUAUACUAAUUAAUGUAAUUAUAAAACUAAUAAAUGUAAAUUAUUUUGGUGCCAACUGUGUAACACUACCACGGUUGAUAGUAUAUUUUGUAUUAUUGUGUACACCUUUAGAGAGUAUGAGAUUUUAGUCUAUAUGCAGUAUUACUGUUUCAACUUCUCAGCAAUUUCCCUUCAACAGUAGUAUACUA